CAGUACAAGCCUAAUUAAGGUGAACCCGCGAAAGGCUCAUUAAACCAGUUAUGGUUCCUUAGAUCGUACGCACAUUUACUUGAAUAACUGUGGUAAUUCUAGAGCUAAUACAUGCAAACAGAGCUCCGACCAGAGAUGAAAGGAGUGCUUUUAUUAGAUCAAAACCAAUCGGCGGCAGUCACUUCGGUGUCUGUUCGUCGCCCUAUUUGGUGACUCUGAAUAACUUUAUGCUGAUCGCACGGUCUUGCACCGGCGACGCAUCUAUCAAAUGUCUGCCUUAUCAACUGUCGAUGGUAGGUUCUGCGCCUACCAUGGUUGUAACGGGUAACGGGGGAUCAGGGUUCGAUCCCGGAGAGGGAGCCUGAGAAACGGCUACCACAUCCAAGGAAGGCAGCAGGCGCGCAAAUUACCCACUCCCGGCACGGGGAGGUAGUGACGAAAAAUAACGAUACGGGACUCAUCCGAGGCCCCGUAAUCGGAAUGAGUACACUUUAAGUCCUUUAACCAGGAACCAUUGGAGGGCAAGUCUGGUGCCAGCAGCUGCGGUAAUUCCAGCUCCAAUAGCGUAUAUUAAAGUUGUUGCGGUUAAAAAGCUCGUAGUUGAAUCUGUGUCCCGUGCUGUCGGUUCACCGCCCGCGGUGCUAACUGGCACGUCUCACGGGACGUCCUGCCGGUGG
This 677-nucleotide ribosomal RNA is filed under the name Nebria angustata. Its description in RNAcentral is "SSU rRNA". It matches the Rfam family "Eukaryotic small subunit ribosomal RNA", at positions 61 to 710 of the family's 1831-position model. Lineage: Eukaryota; Metazoa; Arthropoda; Insecta; Coleoptera; Carabidae. The record is from RNAcentral.